GACCCCUAACCCGUUGGAUCCCCCAACUCUAAAUUAAAAGGGAACACCCGAUAAACCAAUGCAACCCUAAAACCACCGCUGAAAAAUCAAUAGCAUUCAAAUCUAGAGUUCUUCUGUUUUCUUCUUAAACUUUUGUGUUAGGACUGUUUAGGUCGUCGAAAAGGCGUACAAUAUCGGAGAAUAGUUGUUCAUCGAAGAAGAUGUACCAUUGUGGAGAAGUUGCCAAUCAUUUCACUUUGAAAACUCUCCUAAACCCAGGAAGGAGAUUCUACAAGCACCCUAAAACUGAGGUAAUUUUUCCCCCUUCCAUAUGUGUUAAUAUCUAUUGUUUCAGCACUUCUUUAAAUUUGUUUGCGUUUCGUUUAGAAUGAGGGCUGUGGUUUUUGGCAAUAGCAAGAUGAAGAAUUC
This 408-nucleotide long non-coding RNA is filed under the name Nicotiana tabacum (common tobacco). RNAcentral describes it as "long non-coding RNA (NTAB_LNC009320)". Lineage: Eukaryota; Viridiplantae; Streptophyta; Magnoliopsida; Solanales; Solanaceae. The record is from RNAcentral.